GAGGAAACAAUUAUAUACCAUUUAUAUAAACCUAUAUGGAUUCAUAUUAAACCAAGGGUGCACCCACAGGUACUGCAGAGAAAUAUAAAGGUUGAGAUUAGGGAAGAUUCAAGGGCAUUAAUGGAAAACCAAAAAACUUUUACACGUGUCUACAUGAUCUCACUAUAGGAUACGAAGGUGCCUUUAUGGCUUCUUGAAUGAAUUUAGAUAAAAGAUGACCACAUAAUAAGAAGGAUGAUUUUUCUUACUAGUCUGUUUGAUACUCUGAGUAACAAUCAAAAAUAAUUUUCAGACUGCCUAUAUGUGAGACCUCACUAUGAUGGCUGAGGACAGCAGAGAAUCCUCUUUGGAAACAGAAAAGGAUAGCAGGGGACAGAGAGUAGUGAAGACCUCCGAAGAAGAGAAAAAAGCUAACAACCCUAGAAAUAUUUUUGACCCUGCAGAACUCUGCCACAAUACAGGGUGAUACUCCAAACCCCAAACACCAUCACAUUGGAUUGUGUCCCUGACUCAGACCUGCAGUUACUUUACCCUACUUGUGGACCAAGACAGACGAUCAAGUAAAGAAGUAAUGGGGAGCCUUUGAGGCAGCAUAUUUAGUGGAAUAAGAGGGCCGACUACCUCCACACAAAAGUUUAGUUUGAAAUAACUGUCACCACAAAGGCUGCCAUGCAUUGGGACUGAGGUCAUAACAAAGAGGUUUAUUUAAAUCUGGAAGCAUUACUAUUUUCCACAGCCUAAGAUGUUGGUUGCCAUCGUAUAAAUCCUCCUUUCUAAUAAAAAAUGACAUUUCAGAACCAAAUAGUGCUAUACACAUGAAUAGUCAGAACUUAAGUGGUUUAUGGGCAGAGUAAUGAAAGCGAGUUUUAUCAGAAAAGUGAAUUUCGAGUUGUGUCUCCUGUCUGUGUUCUUUUAUCAUCCUCCAGUCCACCCACAAAUGAAUUAUCAGGCACGAACUCGGAGGCACGUAUCCAUGAAAGUCCCAAUUCGAAUGCCCUGGAGGGAGUCACCAUUGAGAGAAGCCCCAAUGACCAGUGAGUUAUAAAAGAUGUACACAUGGCCAGGUGCAGUGGUUCACACCUAUAAUCUGAGCACUUUGGGAGGCCAAGGCAGGCAGAUACCCUGAGGUCAGGAGUUCAAGACCAGGCUGGCAAACAUAGUGAAACCUUGUCUCUACUAAAAUUUCAACAACUAGCCAGCUGUGGUGGCAGGCGCCUCUAAUCCCAGCUGCUCGGGAGGCUGAGGCAGGAGAAUCGCUUGACAUGGGAAGGUGCACGUUCCAGUGAGCUGAGACCAUGCCACUGCAUUCCACUCUGGGCAGCAGGAGCAAAACUUUGUCACACACAAAAAAAAGUACACACACACACACAAUAGUGACAGAGAAAGAGACUGAGAUUAGUGGGACUCACUGUCAGAAGUGCUCACAAUAAUAGAGAAUGUCUUUGACACAGUUUCUUUAUCAUCUCACUGUAUCAUAUAUACACAACUUCCACAUUUUUACAGUUGUUUAGGAAAAAAGAAACAGAUUAUAGAGAGAGGCUUCUGUCUGUUAUUGUCUUUUCACCAUUUGUUAGUAGCAGUCAAAUGCCUUG
Papio anubis (olive baboon) is the source of this 1592-nucleotide long non-coding RNA. The record is from Ensembl. NCBI's taxonomy places the organism in Eukaryota, Metazoa, Chordata, Mammalia, Primates, Cercopithecidae.